This is a long non-coding RNA of Pseudopipra pipra, 1031 nucleotides long. RefSeq lists it as uncharacterized. Lineage: Eukaryota; Metazoa; Chordata; Aves; Passeriformes; Pipridae. The record is from RefSeq and is a predicted model, not a curated record. The transcript is spliced from 4 exons.
GACCUGAUGUUUUAGGUCAGAUCAUGACCAGUUUGGAGAGAUGCGGAGAAGAAGGAUAAAUUCGUGGAAAAGUUUUUCUCAGAGCAACAGGGUGAACAAGCUGUGAGCAUGGGAGAGUUUGGAAGGAUAUACUAUCUGAAGAGACUACCUUGUUCCAUGAAAAGCUGAUUCCGUAGGGUGUUUUAGGUUUCAUGGUGCAGCAGGAAGCACAGGUACUUCUGGAAUAAUACCAGGGCAUCAUUUAAUCAGUUAAUAAGUCUGGCUAACCUCUCCCUCCAGUGUGUUCCACUGAGAACAGUGGUUGGAACCAUUAGUUCAGAGAUGUCCCUUCUUAGGUCAGUUGUGACAUCACCUGAUGUAAUAACACUGCUUGCAGUUGUACACAUGCCCAGGUCUAGGUCUCUCUGACCUUGGCCCUCCUGCACAGUGUCACAGGCUGUCUGAGGACCUGCAGAAGUUUUAAGAGGAAGAACUUGGAGUAGAGUUAAAUACAAGUAAAGGGAACUGCAGGGAGUAAGUGACCAGUUGGAGCUGCAGACAAAGCUGUUAGGAAGAAAGCAGGAAAGCACAGAACAGUUUCAAAUGUGAAAUGUCUCAAAGAGAAAAGUGAGGCCCUGUGAGAGUAGAGGGAGUGCUAAUAACAGGGAAAUGUCAUCCUCCAUCCAGUCAUUCUGAGGGUGAUGUUUAAAAAAAAAGGAAAAAUCUGAAAAAUACGAUAUCUGUGUUCUGGUCAAAUUAUAGGAGAAACGAAUGUGGAGCAUCCUGACUGAGUUCCUCAAGCCUGUGCCUGAGGAAAAGUUUUAGAUACUCCAGAGAUCACUAAGGGUCAUGUUUUCAAAGGCAGAUGUGUCAGAGGAAGGAAGCAGGCAUACUGAGACUUUCAGAAGCAUUUUUGUAAGUCUUUUAUUUUGAUCAGCUGGAACUGAGCACUGAAAAUUGAGCCAGUGAUCUGCCUCAUUUGAUGUGUACCUAACUUGGCAAAAUUCUUACUGAGAUCCUUAAAGACAAAAAAUAAAAUCAGUCUGACAUGA